This is an RNA transcript of Tarenaya hassleriana, 2286 nucleotides long. It is a transcript of the gene named probable galacturonosyltransferase-like 7, with no coding region annotated. The transcript is spliced from 3 exons. The record is from RefSeq and is a predicted model, not a curated record. Lineage: Eukaryota; Viridiplantae; Streptophyta; Magnoliopsida; Brassicales; Cleomaceae.
CUAUGGCUUUUUUUUAUUUUAUUAAAAAUCUCUCUCUCUCUUUCUCUCUCUGAUUCUAUCAGCCUGUGCCAAGAAACCUGUGUAGCGAGCGCCACGAGCUGAGAGGAGAAGAAAAGGGAAGGUGUGAAGAGCGCACGGGAGCGGCACACGGUAGCUCUCCGCUUCUUAUCCUGCGCUUCCUUCGCCGUCUCACCGGAGUCUUCUUCCUAACGCUCUCGCAUUUCUCCCCCAAAGGAAAGUUUCCCAGGAAAAUCCGAUUCGUUCUUCCCUCAUUGCGUUUGUUUCCCUUUUUCGCAUUUUGGCUUCCCGAAUAACUCUGGCGGACUGGUCGUUUCUCGUCGGUUGGGAAUUGUUUCGACGAUUCGGAUUCGCAUUUGAAGAAGAAGAAGACGACGAAGGAGAGGAAGAAGUGGAUUUAUCGACCGUUUCACGAUGCUUUGGAUUAUGAGAUUAUCCUGCUUAUUCUCCGCCGCGUUGACGGUGAUCGUCCUUUCUCCAUCAUUCCAGUCAUUCCCUCCGGCGGAGGCCAUCCGAUCAUCGCAUCUCGACGCUUAUCUCCGACCACCGCCUCCGGUGCAUCACUCCUCAUACCGUUUCUCCUUCAGAAAAUCGCCGGUGUUCCGCAAUGCCGAUGACUGUGGCUCCUCCGGCGCCGAUUCUGGCGUCUGCGACCCCUCACUGGUCCACGUCGCGAUCACUCUCGACGUUGAGUACCUCCGUGGCUCAAUCGCCGCGGUGCAUUCCAUUCUCCAGCAUUCAUUGUGCCCUGAGAGCGUCUUCUUCCAUUUCGUCGUCUCCGAGACAAACCUAGAGCCUCUGGUUCGUUCGACUUUCCCGGAAUUGAAGUUCGAAAUUUACUAUUUCGCUCCCGAGACCGUGCGGGACCUGAUUUCUUCCUCCGUGAGGCAAGCGCUUGAGCAGCCGCUGAAUUACGCCAGAAAUUAUCUGGCGGAUCUGCUUGAGCCCUGCGUCAAAAGAGUCAUCUACUUGGAUUCGGAUCUCGUCGUCGUCGACGAUAUCGCGAAGCUCUGGAGAACGAGUCUGGGCCCGAGAACAAUCGGAGCCCCGGAAUACUGCCACGCGAAUUUCACCAAGUACUUCACCGGGAUUUUCUGGUCGGACGAGCGGUUUUCCGGAACGUUCAAAGGGAGAAACCCCUGCUACUUCAACACGGGAGUAAUGGUGUUGGAUCUGGAGAAGUGGAGGCGGGACGGGUACACGAAACGGAUCGAGAAAUGGAUGGAGAUCCAGAAGGGCGAGCGGAUUUAUGAGCUGGGUUCGCUACCGCCGUUCCUUUUGGUCUUCGCCGGACACGUGGCGCCAAUCUCUCACCGGUGGAACCAGCACGGGCUCGGCGGGGACAAUGUCAGAGGUAGCUGUCGGGAUUUGCAUCCCGGUCCGGUGAGUUUGCUUCAUUGGUCCGGUAGUGGCAAGCCGUGGUUAAGGGUCGACUCGAAGCGGCCGUGUCCGUUGGACGCGCUUUGGGCGCCUUACGACUUGUACCGACACUCGCAUUGACACCGACUCAGGCUGGGUUUUCGUUGCCGGGUUUGUUCAUAAACAGAUGGAUAGGAAGUAGACGAAGUGGCAGUGGCAAGGGGGCAUUGCUUGUAGUAAUCGUGUUUAGAUAGUUCAAACAUGUUUACCAAAAAUGGAGAAGGGGGUGAGGGGAGGGAGGAGACGUGUGUAUAUAUCAUAAUGAUAGAUACAUAGAUAGAGAGAGAUGCAUGAUGAUCGUAGCAUCACAGCUGUGUUGUGAGAGAAGUCUUUUUAAGCUUUGAGACAUUCAAACUCUGUCUCUGUUUCUGUCUGGUAUCAAAAACGUGGGACCCCACGUCUCUUUUGUUGUUUAUAAAAAUGUCCAAAAGCCAACCAGAGAAGGGAGGAGGGGACCGAUUCCGAGGUGGGUCCAGUGAUCUCUCGCAAAAUCCUGUUGCUUGAUCCAGCUGCUAACGUGUGAUGAUCAUUGCCACGAGCAAAGGAUUAGAGAGGAGGAACAUAUAAGAUCCCGACCGAAUGCUUCUGCCGAUGAUGUCGCGGAGGAGGAAGAAGAAAGCUCUGAGCGGCAAGUAAAUAUGGGGAUGGGAUCGGAUGUUGUACGGAACCCGAGAGACACGAUUUGGAUGUUUGGGAAUUAUUUUUUUUUGGUGACCGGAGGUUGGAUCAUUUUUGUUCUUCUGUAACGUUUGGUGGAAGUCAGAGAGUUAGGUUAUUCAUGUGGAUGCCAUUUUUGCUGUUUAUUGUUUUGUUUUUUUAAAAAAAAAAUCAGAUGCAUUGUAUGUGCAA